UGGGGAAUCUUGCACAAUGGGGGAAACCCUGAUGCAGCGAUGCCGCGUGAGUGAAGAAGGCCCUUGGGUUGUAAAGCUCUUUCGUCGGGGAAGAAAAUGACUGUACCCGAAUAAGAAGCUCCGGCCAACUACGUGCCAGCAGCCGCGGUAACACGUAGGGAGCAAGCGUUGUCCGGAAUUACUGGGCUUAAAGAGCUCGUAGGUGGUUAAAGAAGUUGGUGGUGAAAUCCCAAGGCUUAACCUUGGAACUGCCAUCAAAACUUUUUAGCUAGAGUAUGAUAGAGGAAAGUGGAAUUUCUAGUGUAGAGGUGAAAUUCGUAGAUAUUAGAAAGAACAUCAAAAGCGAAGGCAACUUUCUGGAUCAUUACUGACACUGAGGAGCGAAAGCAUGGGUAGCGAAGAGG
This 404-nucleotide ribosomal RNA is filed under the name uncultured bacterium. RNAcentral describes it as "bacterial SSU rRNA". It matches the Rfam family "Bacterial small subunit ribosomal RNA", at positions 355 to 776 of the family's 1533-position model. The record is from RNAcentral.